UUUGCAUUGCGCCAGUCUUAGGCGCUUGCCGGUUUCAAGUUGGUGCAACUUGUGCGAGGCGAGUCGCUAAAC
RNAcentral lists this transfer RNA (72 nucleotides) under Comamonas testosteroni. Its description in RNAcentral is "tRNA-seC(tca)". Lineage: Bacteria; Pseudomonadati; Pseudomonadota; Betaproteobacteria; Burkholderiales; Comamonadaceae. The record is from RNAcentral.